Bradysia coprophila is the source of this 152-nucleotide long non-coding RNA. Lineage: Eukaryota; Metazoa; Arthropoda; Insecta; Diptera; Sciaridae. The record is from RefSeq and is a predicted model, not a curated record.
UAUUUUAAAUCGUGUAUUUGGUAGUUGACUACCAAAGUGGUAGUUGACUACCAAACUAAUACGGAGGUUGUAGAGAUGUUUAUUGUUUGAGAGCUGCACACAGACUGAUGAAAUUAGUCGGCUCGCCUGCCUAUUUAUAAUUCGAAAAUUUG